Molecule: long non-coding RNA, 1277 nt
Organism: Syngnathus typhle (broad-nosed pipefish)
Lineage: Eukaryota; Metazoa; Chordata; Actinopteri; Syngnathiformes; Syngnathidae
Exons: 10
Source: RefSeq, a predicted model, not a curated record
CCGGGCGUCCCCUCGCCUUCACGCGCAUUUCUGGGAAGGACGUGUGCGGAGAAACAAGUCGUCCACCGAGCUCGACAGAAGAGAGAGAGGAAGAAGAAGAAGAGUAGGAGAGUGGAGGGAGAGGGAGAGAAAGAGAGUGUGGAGCGUCGGCGGCCCGGGCACGGAAGAGGCUUGAACGCGUGCAGCUGCUGCAUUAAGUUUUCCCCAUCAAAGCGUGGGGUGAUGAAUUGAUGGUCAUUUGUGGUCAUGCUUGCCUUCAUGGCUCCCUUUGAGGCUCCUCAGCACUCCUCCGUCCGAACAGAUCCCGGCGGAGCAACCCGAUAUCACGCCGAACGAGAUGACCAAGUUCAGGGCCCGCCCGUCGCCGCCUCCUCCCGCCGCCGGUCGGCCGCGGGAUCAAUGGAAUACCGUCGGGAUACGCGGCGGGCCGCGCCCACGCGCUCGCCAAUGAACCGUAUGAUUGGACGUCGUCGACCACCGCCGAGGCUUUCAUGCAAAUUGAUGAAGGUCCAGUCUUUCCCGUCCUGAUCCCUUCCUCCCAGCGGAGGUGUGAGAUGGGAAGCGCAGCGCCGGCUGGCCGGCCGCCGCCCGUUCCACACGGCUGCGUCCCAAAGAGCAGUGGCAAGACUCAACUCCAAUUACGAUUUCUUGCGUACCUGGAGCUGGAAAGCAAAGCGUGUAGAGUCUCUGUGCAGUCAAGACACUCUAAUGAAGGCGGAAGUGAUAGCCGAAACACGUCAGGAGACCCGGGCGACGUUCCAUUUGCGAGCGUGUCGAGCCAGAGUGACGUUAAUGGCGGCGGAGAGGAACAAACACAUCAGAGCGGCGGGUGGAAAAGAGGACGCCCAUGUGAGCAAUGAGGAGAGAUGGAUGGAGGAGAUGAUGGUGGGAGGGGCAGGAGGGGGCGGCCAAGGCGCCUCGCCUCGCAUUGCCCCAGAAAAGAGGAGGGGGAAGCCAUGUGUGAAGAAAACAGCCAGCCGAGCAGCCCCCGGGCCUCCUCAGCAUCAGAUGUCAGCCUCCUGGAGUCAAAAUAUUCUUCCAAAGAUGUUCCUCUUCAGCUCUCGUGAGAAACGGCACUAAACGAGCUCGAGUGAGACUCAUGAGGCGUACACGGAACAACCAUCACAUCAGUCUACAAAAAAAAAAAAAGCCCUGCUGUGUCCUUUAACGGCUUAUUACGGUGUGCCGUUCAGCAGCUCCCAAAGCUACGUCAUCAACUUGUUUGUUGCCCCCUUCAGAAGUGCACGAGGUGUCACCAAGGAAGAGAGAAAGAGAGA